GACGAACGCUGGCGGCGUGCUUAACACAUGCAAGUCGAACGGAAAGGCCCAGCCUGCUGGGUGCUCGAGUGGCGAACGGGUGAGUAACACGUGGGUGAUCUGCCCCUAACUUCGGGAUAAGCUUGGGAAACUGGGUCUAAUACCGGAUAGGACAAUCGUUUAGUGUCGGUUGUGGAAAGUUUUUUCGGUUAGGGAUGAGCCCGCGGCCUAUCAGCUUGUUGGUGGGGUAAUGGCCUACCAAGGCGUCGACGGGUAGCCGGCCUGAGAGGGUGGACGGCCACAUUGGGACUGAGAUACGGCCCAGACUCCUACGGGAGGCAGCAGUGGGGAAUAUUGCACAAUGGGCGCAAGCCUGAUGCAGCGACGCCGCGUGGGGGAUGACGGCCUUCGGGUUGUAAACCUCUUUCGACAGGGACGAAGCUUUGGUGACGGUACCUGUAUAAGAAGCACCGGCUAACUACGUG
Molecule: ribosomal RNA, 464 nt
Filed under: uncultured bacterium
Lineage: Bacteria
Description: partial 16S ribosomal RNA
Rfam family: Bacterial small subunit ribosomal RNA
Source: RNAcentral